CAGGGCUCGACAUUAACGCUUGUCCGAUUGUCCGGGACAAGUGGACACAGGUGUCGGGCAAGUAGAUUCACCAUACUACUUGUCCGAUGGGACAAGUGAAAAAUCAAGGUCAGAUAAAAAUAGAUCAAAUUCAAGACUUAUACAUUCCCAAAAAUAUUAAUGAUUGUUUUAUUGAUCAUACUUAAUGAAAUUAUUAUUCAUUGAUUGAACCAGAGACAUAUAAAACUUGUAUAAUAUGUCUCUGAUUUGGAGUAUUGAACAUGGUGGCAGCCAUUGACCAGGGGGAUAUAAGUAAGGGGAAAGAAACCAAUGUUAAUGUAUCUUCUUAGUAUAAGCUUCCUUGAAUUAGGAGCACCUCCAUAUGGAGUUUUACCUAAACUUUAAAAUAUUAAAUUAAAGUAUGUUUCAUUUGAUUUUGCUUUUAUGCAUAACAAUACAUUAAAAAAGGUUUUAUUUGAUAAGAUCUAUGAUAUAAAAAUUUAAGAUGAAAAAAAAAAAAAAAAAAUCUAAAAAGGCAGAUUUUUUAGUGAAAUGUGUAUGUACUUCAUGAUCAUAUAUAUCAAUGUAUAUACAAAUCAAAAUAAAUUGUAAAAGUUUGUUUUAACAUCAUCAAUAAAUUAAAAAGGUUUACUCAUAUACAUGUUCAAGGUGGCCAGGUGUAUUUACGUCCUUGGUUUAACCCAUACCACUACUAAAGAAUGAAUAGGUCCAUAGGGG
This 717-nucleotide long non-coding RNA is filed under the name Mytilus galloprovincialis (Mediterranean mussel). Lineage: Eukaryota; Metazoa; Mollusca; Bivalvia; Mytilida; Mytilidae. The record is from RNAcentral.